CCCUUAGAUGUUCUGGGCCGCACGCGCGCUACACUGAUGCAUUCAACGAGUUUCUUCCUGGUCCGAGAGGAAUGGGUAACCUUUUGAAAGUGCAUCGUGAUAGGGAUAGACUAUUGCAAUUAUUGGUCUUCAACGAGGAAUUCCUAGUAGACGUAGUUCAUCAGACUGCAUCGAUUACGUCCCUGCCCUUUGUACACACCGCCCGUCGCUCCUACCGAUUGAAUGCUCAGGUGAGCCAUUCGGACUUUCAUCAUGCUGGUUUCCAGUUUUGAUGAAGGAAAGUCUUGCGAACCUUAUCAUUUAGAGGAAGGAGAAGUGGUAACA
Molecule: ribosomal RNA, 324 nt
Filed under: uncultured eukaryote
Lineage: Eukaryota
Description: partial 18S ribosomal RNA
Rfam family: Eukaryotic small subunit ribosomal RNA
Source: RNAcentral